UAGGGAAUAUUAGUAAUGGGCGAAAGCCUGAACUAGCAACGCCGCGUGUGCAAGAAGGCCUUCGGGUUGUAAAGCACUUUUUGAGAGGAUGAGGAAGGACGGUACUCUCAGAAUAAGCCUCGGCUAACUACGUGCCAGCAGCCGCGGUAACACGUAGGAGGCGAACGUUAUCCGGAUUUACUGGGCGUAAAGCGCGUGUAGGUGGUUUGGUAAGUAGGGCGUGAAAGCUCCUGGCUCAACUGGGAGAGGCCGUUCUAAACUGCCGAACUAGAGGAGGGUGGAGGGAGGUGGAAUUCCGGGUGUGGCGG
This 308-nucleotide ribosomal RNA is filed under the name uncultured bacterium. RNAcentral describes it as "bacterial SSU rRNA". It matches the Rfam family "Bacterial small subunit ribosomal RNA", at positions 355 to 681 of the family's 1533-position model. The record is from RNAcentral.